Molecule: non-coding RNA, 96 nt
Organism: Rhodocollybia butyracea
Lineage: Eukaryota; Fungi; Basidiomycota; Agaricomycetes; Agaricales; Omphalotaceae
Source: the annotation of a GenBank genome assembly
ACUCGCAUAGUCCAGCGGACACGACGCCUUGAGAUCAUUAGGAGCGAGCAAAGUUCAGAUUCCAAGGAGACGGGAGUUCGAUUCUUCCUGUGAGUA